UAUGGAUAUUGAUUUAUCCUAUUUAUUUCUUAUAAAAAGUUAAAUCAUAAACAACUUCUCCUAAAACACCUAAAUUGGGGGAAUCGAGUGAAAAAUCUACUAAAGAAAAGAUUCUAGAUCUUGCUCAUCAACAUAUUUUCUCAUCUUCUAAGUAGGUAAAAGGUUGGAAAAGGGGUGUGUGUUCAAAUCUACUUAAAAAUUGGAGAUAGUUGGGCCAUAUAUCAAAAUUGGACACUAGAUUGGAAUAGAAAAACCCCAGAUUUCUCCUCUCACAUACGGAAGGAAUACAUUUUGGAGCCCUAAUCUCCAUAUAGCGAAGUUGUCUAUAAUGGAAAUGCUGGAUUGUUUAUAGUAAUUGAAGCUGAAAGUAGGUUGGAGUUCAAUGAUCAGAUUCCACUUCUAAGGCACUCUUUUCUCUUUCUUUAGUGCUAUAUUUUAAUUAUAUGACCCGAUUUGUGUUGUUUAUGGUGUUGUAAUUAUCAGAUUUGAAAGGAAGAACUAGGUGGCGACACACCUGAUUUUAUAACUGUGAGAUCAUACUGGUGAGAUUAUUUAAUACUAUUGUACGUACAACGAUAAUAAAAUGAGGGAUUUUUUCCUUACAUUUUUUUGUUCCAUAAUUCAUAGAAUUACAGAGGCUGAAUCCUAAUUAAAGGCGAAGUGAAAAAGUUUACAUAGGUUGUUGUACUGGAUAUGGGGAAAGUCGACCAAUAGAAGCUUUAAAACUACUUCAUAAGGUGAGGGAGUUAGAUUAUUUAGUGUUGGAAUUCCUAGAAGAGCUCACCCUUGCUGAACGUUUUCAGGUCAUAAGAUCAAGUGGCAAGGGUUAUGAUCCCCAUACUGUGAUUCCUUAUUAAAUAGUUAUUUUUGUUUCAAUAUAUAUAUAUAUAGACAUUUCAAGUUCCUUUAGCUGAUUCAUCUACUCGUCAGUAUGCUAGAAGUGUGAUAAUUUUCUUGUUUGAUGAUAAUUGAUAACUAUUAGUGUUGUACAAUCUCAAAGUGGAUGCAACUGAUCUUACCUUUUAUUGCGGAGAAUGGAGUUUUCAAUAUUACAAACAUGAGUGCGAGUAUGUGAUAUGCCUAGAUUUUUCUUUGGUUUUCUGUAUUGCUUUUUCUCCAGCAAAUAAAUAUGUUCUCUUUGACAAUAUGGAGAAUAGAUGAUCCAUUUGACACUCAGGAUGAAGUCUUACAACUUGCAAGCAAAUUGGGAAUUUCCAUAACUAUUGGUCUAGCUCAUCAAGUUGUUAUUAGAUCAGCUUGCAAGUUGUAUUGAUAAAGAGCAUUAGUUAAAGGAAAGAGCAUCCCAGGAAAGGUGAAAACAAUUUGUUCCUUCCUGCUCAUGUUAAGCAAUCUGUCUACAUCUGUCUAUCCAAAAGAUCAUCCAAGAAACUAUCCUUGAAGAAAGUAUGGAGUAGAUAUAAGUGACUCACAUGUUUAUGAACAAGUUGAAGAACAAGAGAGACCCAUUCCUUUUUUUAGUUGUUUAAAGAUGUCCCCUUCCGUACAUGUCACAAUUCCUUUUUUCACUUCUAUAAUGAGUUAGACAAUACAAUGUUUUACAAGUAGAAUUAGUAUAUUCUUUGGCAUUGAUGCUUAGUUCUUUUGUAAUGAACUACAAAUUUUUAUAUG
This is a long non-coding RNA of Solanum dulcamara, 1629 nucleotides long. RefSeq lists it as uncharacterized. The transcript has 4 exons. The record is from RefSeq and is a predicted model, not a curated record. Lineage: Eukaryota; Viridiplantae; Streptophyta; Magnoliopsida; Solanales; Solanaceae.